AGUCCUUCGCCGUCCCUCGCCGUCCUUCGCCAUCGCACGCCACCGCACCCCAUCUCUCGAAAUCUGCAGACAUCUUGAUUUUUCCCACGCUGUCUGUCAGGUCUCCGCCGCCACUCGACGCCAGGGCGCCGGGCCUUGUGGGCUGUGCUGCACCUCGGACGGCUUCGCACCAGCCAGCGCCCUCUCUCUCCUGCAGCACUCUGAUCUGCACCCCCUGAGGGGCUUCCACUGUCCGCGGGGUGAGAAUGCCCCUGGGAGUGUCACAUGACUGCCGCCCCAUGUGUGUGAGAGGCGUCCUCUGGGAGAGCAUGGAUCCUGAGGUCCCAGGAUUGUCAGCUGACCUCUGUCCUGUGUGCCCAGUGGCCCCAGGUGACGUGUCUUCAAGAAGAGGCUGAGCUGCGGUGCUUGUAAGAGUCAUGUGCUGUUCCUGGGGCUUGGAUGAUGUAGGGGAAGCAAGGUGAAAGUGGUAUCCCGUGGUUCCACGUUCUGUCCUGCUGUGGGGCUGUCCCUCACAUGCUUUCAGUGGCUGUUGCAGAGGAAGAGCCUCCGGAAAUCUGCGUGGGUAAAGUGAGCUCCCCGGGGGAACCGUCCUCCUCCCUUGAGCGCUGGUGUGUCCAUAGUGUGCUGUGAUCUGGAUUAGCAGUCUCAGCCUUAGAUCCAAGGACAGUCCAAGGAAGUCCUAAGACCAUGGAGUUGGUGAUCUGGGAUCUGGGUUUGCUGAUAUUUCUCACCGUGAAUCUCUUGGUGGUGUUUGUGGGCACGAGAGGGGCAGAGAAUGGAGAGUGAGGCUACCACAUGAAGCGUCACCAGAGCUGCUCCCUGCUGCCUGCUCAGAGCACCCCGGAUCCACUGUUCAAUCUGCACAAGAUUCGGGGUCCAGACAUGGGAGACUUCAGCUGCCUCAGAGGACCGUGGACAGGGAAGGCCAGCCUCGCAUCCCUCUGUCCAUGCCUGGAAUGACUUUAAUAACCAAGAGUUUUAUUUUUGAAUUUGUAGCUGUCGUUCACUUUUUACCCACCCAUUCAAUAAACCUUACAGAAUUGCUCCA
Molecule: long non-coding RNA, 1048 nt
Filed under: Homo sapiens (human)
Lineage: Eukaryota; Metazoa; Chordata; Mammalia; Primates; Hominidae
Description: small nucleolar RNA host gene 17, transcript variant 39 (SNHG17)
Source: RNAcentral